Molecule: transfer RNA, 58 nt
Filed under: Marmota monax (woodchuck)
Lineage: Eukaryota; Metazoa; Chordata; Mammalia; Rodentia; Sciuridae
Also listed under: 3 other names
Rfam family: tRNA
About the family: Transfer RNA (tRNA) molecules are approximately 80 nucleotides in length.
Source: Rfam by way of RNAcentral
UAGCUCAGUUGGUAGAGUGUUUGCCUCAUAUGCACAAAGCCCUGGGUUCAAUCCUCAG